RNAcentral lists this long non-coding RNA (1034 nucleotides) under Homo sapiens (human). RNAcentral describes it as "non-protein coding lnc-TUBGCP6-1:1". The record is from RNAcentral. Lineage: Eukaryota; Metazoa; Chordata; Mammalia; Primates; Hominidae.
CACAGUUCAGGAUGUAGCCUGGGAUGUCCUGCCAGGUUGGGAUGGGAAACGCUGACUACGUGGCUGCCUUCCUGCACCUGCUGCUCCCACUGGCCUUUGAGGUGACUGCACGGAGGGCUCCCCCAGGGCAGCCGGGUGGGAGGGGGACCUUGUGCCUGGAGUGCGCCAGUGAAGGCAGGAGGAGGGUUAUGAGCUGUCCCACUCCUGUGUGGCUGGGGAAGGUGCUCAGGAGGGGAUGGGAUGGGCCUGGCUCGCCCUCACCUGGGCUCCAGCCCCUCUCUGUCGACCCUCCCCACUCCGGCCUGGCCUGUAGUUUGACCCUGAGCUGGUGCUGGUCUCGGCAGGAUUUGACUCAGCCAUCGGGGACCCUGAGGUGAGGGCCUUGCCUUGCCAGGGAGGGCUUCUGGGGUCCUGGGGCCCAGGUCCCCCAUCACACAUGGCUCUGGUUCCAGGGGCAAAUGCAGGCCACGCCAGAGUGCUUCGCCCACCUCACACAGCUGCUGCAGGUGCUGGCCGGCGGCCGGGUCUGUGCCGUGCUGGAGGGCGGCUACCACCUGGAGUCACUGGCGGAGUCAGUGUGCAUGACAGUACAGACGCUGCUGGGUGACCCGGCCCCACCCCUGUCAGGGCCAAUGGCGCCAUGUCAGAGUGCCCUAGAGUCCAUCCAGAGUGCCCGUGCUGCCCAGGCCCCGCACUGGAAGAGCCUCCAGCAGCAAGGUCAGUGUGGCCGGGUGCUAGGCUGCAGGAUCCCACCUCGGGCUCCUGUGCAGUGGCUAUGACUCCGAACUGUCCCUAGAUGUGACCGCUGUGCCGAUGAGCCCCAGCAGCCACUCCCCAGAGGGGAGGCCUCCACCUCUGCUGCCUGGGGGUCCAGUGUGUAAGGCAGCUGCAUCUGCACCGAGCUCCCUCCUGGACCAGCCGUGCCUCUGCCCCGCACCCUCUGUCCGCACCGCUGUUGCCCUGACAACGCCGGAUAUCACAUUGGUUCUGCCCCCUGACGUCAUCCAACAGGAAGCGUCAGCCCUGAGGGAGGA